RNAcentral lists this unclassified non-coding RNA (328 nucleotides) under uncultured fungus. RNAcentral describes it as "sequence contains ITS1". The stretch from base 1 to 105 matches the Rfam family "5.8S ribosomal RNA", at positions 50 to 154 of the family's 154-position model. The record is from RNAcentral. Lineage: Eukaryota; Fungi.
AAAGUGCGAUAAGCAAUGCGAAUUGCAGAAUUCCGCGAAUCAUCAGAUCCUUGAACGCAACUGGCGCUGGGAGGAUAUCCUCCCAGCAUGCCUGUUUCAGUGUCUGAAAACCUCAUAUAAUGAUCUUAAUGUGGUUGACAAAGUUAUUACUAACUAAGUCUCCCAUGAAAGAUGUACAUGUGGGUCUUUGGACCCCCUCUUCGAAUUUUGGUCACUGGUCUCUUUCAGUGAUUUCGAGAGGAGGGAACAAUUACUCCGUAUACAUGUAUUUUAGCAAAAACAUCAAACUCUGCAUCUGAAAUCAGGCAAGAUCACCCGCUGAACUUAA